GGAUGUGAAGGCAAUCUAGCUGUGACUUCUGUCACCCCAUUGAUCUCCAGGGUUGAUUUGGCUGAUCUGGCUGGUGAGCCGAGUGUCUCCUUUCUUCCUCACUGCUCUAUGUAAGUCCCUCCUGAAGCUGCAGGCUGGGUCAAAGAGGACGACCUUCCUGGAUAGAUGAGGACUGUUCUUUGAUCAUGGGUGUACAAGUAGCUAUGCUCCCCUGCUAGAACCUCCAAACAAGCUCUCAAAUCAUUAAUAUGCAAUCUACAUGCAAUUUCUGCACAAUUGAUUGAAUUAGCAAAACAAAUUGAAGUGUCAAAACACUUUGUCAAACAUUUUCCUUCUGACAAUUGUA
Molecule: unclassified non-coding RNA, 346 nt
Organism: Ictidomys tridecemlineatus (thirteen-lined ground squirrel)
Lineage: Eukaryota; Metazoa; Chordata; Mammalia; Rodentia; Sciuridae
Gene: 7SK
Rfam family: 7SK RNA
About the family: 7SK was discovered as an abundant small nuclear RNA in the mid-70s but a possible function has only recently been suggested.
Source: Ensembl